UAAAAGUGGGCGGCAAACACCGCCUCUUGCUUGCCAGAGGCUGGGUUACGGCACGUACCGGCGUUUUCCACUUCCGCUUCUGUAUGGCGACAAAAGCUCGCUUGGGUGUCGCUGCUGGCUCCAUGCUGCUCACCGCUCCUUAUGCCAUUCGCUGAUCACUGCUGGUGGCUCUCGUGUAGCAUCACUCGCUCCGCUUCAUGCUGUGCUGUCCUGGACUGUUUGACUGGUGCUGAGUCUAGCGGAUUGAUGUCCCGGUGGUGGUGUCCCUCUUGUGUUGUGUUUUGCUCCCCUUUUAGUUGUUUCCUGCAUGGCAUUCCUGGGAUUCCCCUUUUUGUUGCACCAUCUGGCACCGUGAGUCUCAGCCCUGAUUGGUUGCCCCUUGAUUGUCAUAUAGUCAGUGACAUUUUAUGUAUAUAUA
Molecule: long non-coding RNA, 418 nt
Organism: Mugil cephalus (flathead mullet)
Lineage: Eukaryota; Metazoa; Chordata; Actinopteri; Mugiliformes; Mugilidae
Exons: 3
Source: RefSeq, a predicted model, not a curated record